AUUGAACGCUGGCGGCAGGCCUAACACAUGCAAGUCGAACGAGUGGCGGACGGGUGAGUAAUGUCUGGGAAACUGCCUGAUGGAGGGGGAUCACUACUGGAAACGGUAGCUAAUACCGCAUACCAUCAGAUGUGCCCAGCUGGGAGUGGCUAGUUGGUGGGGUAACGGCUCACAAAGGCGACGAUCCAUAGCUGGGCUGAGAGGCUGACCAGCCACACUGGAACUGUGACACGGUCCAUACUCCGACGUGAGGCAGCAGUGGGGAAUAUUGCACAAUGGGCGCAAGCCUGAUGCAGCCAUGCCGCUUGUAUGAAGAAGGCCGUCGGGUUGUAAAGUACUUUCAGCGGGGAGGCGUUACCCGCAGAAGAAGCACCGGCUAACUCCGUGCCAGCCGCCGCGGUAAUUC
This 406-nucleotide ribosomal RNA is filed under the name uncultured bacterium. RNAcentral's name for it is "partial 16S ribosomal RNA". It matches the Rfam family "Bacterial small subunit ribosomal RNA", at positions 30 to 526 of the family's 1533-position model. The record is from RNAcentral.